AUACGUAGGGGGCGAGCGUUGUCCGGAAUGAUUGGGCGUAAAGGGCGCGUAGGCGGCCCGGUAAGUCUGGAGUGAAAGUCCUGUUUUUAAGAUGGGAAUUGCUUUGGAUACUGUCGGGCUUGAGUGCAGGAGAGGUAAGUGGAAUUCCCAGUGUAGCGGUGAAAUGCGUAGAGAUUGGGAGGAACACCAGUGGCGAAGGCGACUUACUGGACUGUAACUGACGCUGAGGCGCGAAAGUGUGGGGAGCAAACAGGAUUAGAUACCCUGGUAGUCCACACUGUAAACGAUGAAUGCUAGGUGUAGGGGGUAUCGACCCCUUCUGUGCCGCAGUCAACACAAUAAGCACUCCGCCUGGGGAGUACGGCCGCAAGGUUGAAACUCAAAGGAAUUGACGGGG
This 397-nucleotide ribosomal RNA is filed under the name uncultured bacterium. RNAcentral's name for it is "partial 16S ribosomal RNA". It matches the Rfam family "Bacterial small subunit ribosomal RNA", at positions 523 to 918 of the family's 1533-position model. The record is from RNAcentral.